UUUUUGAAAAGCACAGUUCUGAUGAGCUGAGAAUAGAGUUGACUGGGUAGGUGAGAGCAGAAGAUUUCAGAAGGCCAAAAAUAAGGGCCACCCAGUAGAAAUCAGCCUUAAUUUUUGAUCAAAUAAAUGCAGUCUUGAAGGGGCGACGUGACUAAAGUGCCUGUCCCUGAGGAAUUGCUUAAAUGAAGUGCUGGAAAAUCCUCUAAGAGAAAUAGUCUGAUCGGUAAGGCGAAACACUCAAUGGAGAAUGAUAAAAAUCUCAGGGAGCGAUUCAUUUUCAUCUGAACUGAGCCACAUCUUCCAAACCGCAGAACCCUUCGGCCAUGUGAAGACUUUAGCCCAAGUUAGGAGCUCAAUUGAAUCCAGAUGUCGCUCCAGCAAUAGCCGUUACUUUCACCACUAAAUCAUUCAGUUCCUGGAGGAAUGAUAGUCAGGCAACUAAAAUGAAUCGCUUGCUCUUAUUGUUAAUCACCCUUUAAUUUUUUUUUUUCUUUCUAUGUGAACUUUCACUUCUUCACAAGUUCUGGAAAAAAUGCACAAAAUGUUCAGUGGUUGUGAAAAUUGGUUGAUUUAGUUCUUUAGUUUCUGAGAUUAAAAUAAUGGUUGUCAAACAAAGUAAAAAAUUUAGUAGCUGCCAUUUCCUCCAAGAAAAACAAGUUUUAUGAAUUCUCUAUUUGUUGUUUAGUGUCUGGAACUCAUUGAGUUCGGUUACGUGUGUUUGCGUGCAUAAUUAGAAUUAGUCUUUCGUCUGAAACUGUGUUUAUCACGCACAUAUGAUCAUUCAUUCUUCAAAAGUGUUGUUUUGAUUGUCCAAAUAUCUUACGUCAAGGGCUAAAUGUUUAAAUCCUCAAAACAGCCUAAGGAAGACUGUAUGAGGAUUGUAAGAGAAGCAAUUUGCUAUGUGUUCAGCAGGAUCCAGCAGUGAAAAUGUUUAUUAUUGUUUUGUUGAUUGAUUGAUUCAUUGGUUUACACCCUAAUAUUCAAAAGUUCAUUCAUAUUGUUAUCCUUAUUAUUUUCUGUCUAAUUUAUUUAUGUAUUUAUUAACACUUGCUCUUAACAUCUGCAAGAUUCCCUUACUUAGUACAUAAGAAAUAAAAGGGUAAGAUUAAAGGGGCAAUUUUAUUCAUUACUACACUCAUAUAAACCAUUUUAUUGCUAUCUGAUUUGACUGUGUAAAACGAACCGGUCAAAACAGCAAGCCAUGAGUUAUUUAUAUGCUUUCCUCUUUUGCUGAAUUGUUUGAUUCAAUCACCAAACCCCAGUUUCUAAGCUCUAUCACAGCUGGCUGGCUAACGUGAAUAAAUGUAUUUACACAGUUGUGGCAGGUUAUCUGAGCGUGUUCUCUGGGAUACAGACAUGAGUAACGGGCGCUGUUACGCUAUCAGACCUCUGUCGUUGACCUCUGGAUGGCCUUAACUGUUGGCCGCUGCUCCGUCUCUCACCGUGGCCAUUCCGACUGUUCAUCUACGUCGAUACGGACUUCACACUCCCCUAACGUGUAGAUCCAAAUCAGUCUACAUGCCUCUCUGCUGCAAUAUAGCAUUUGCUGUUUAUUUUGGCCCUCGCCCAACAGCCAGUUCAGGGAGGGCUGGACAAAGUCAGGCUAAAGGGAUCACGCAUAGCAGUAAUUCAUUCUCCAUAGCGAAUAACCCUUUUUCUGAAAGCUGUGGCGAUAAGUGACCAUAUACAAGACAUGCUGGACUGACAGGAGUCUAUUUGUAAAAUAAAUAAAGGUCGACGUCAGAGCUGUUGAAAUGUGCAGUUGCUUUUGCUGAUAAGUUAGUAUAUAGGCUAGACGCUGGACGUGUGUCUGUGGUUGGUUUAUAAUGGGCAGAAAGGGAAAUUGGAUCAAGAGUGUGUGCGUCUGCCUGUCUGGAGUUGCUCGUCUGUAUUAGAUUUAUGUUAAAUUGUAACAAUAAGUCUCUUUCUUCAUUUCUGUCUGUGUGACGAAAAAGCAAAGCUUCUCUUCCUGUGUGUAUUGUUUAAUGGGGCACCGACAUCAUCUCUUGCUAAGCAGGGCUCGACUGAGCAUGGGAACCUGUCACAUAAAAUGAGCUCUGGGAUUUCUUCACAGUGGGGUGGAGGUCGU
Cyprinus carpio carpio is the source of this 2089-nucleotide long non-coding RNA. NCBI's taxonomy places the organism in Eukaryota, Metazoa, Chordata, Actinopteri, Cypriniformes, Cyprinidae. The record is from Ensembl.